RNAcentral lists this ribosomal RNA (812 nucleotides) under Litinium sp. Nem.116. Its description in RNAcentral is "SSU rRNA". It matches the Rfam family "Eukaryotic small subunit ribosomal RNA", at positions 88 to 905 of the family's 1831-position model. The record is from RNAcentral. Lineage: Eukaryota; Metazoa; Nematoda; Enoplea; Enoplida; Oxystominidae.
CGCGAAUUGCUCAUUACAACAGCCAUUUUUUAUUAGAUCAUCCUUCUUACUUGGAUAACUGUGGAAAAGCUAGAGCUAAUACAUGCUACAAGCUCUGACCUUACGGAAGGAGCGCAUUUAUUAGAACAAAACCAAUCGGACUUUGUCCGUCAUUUGGUGAGUCUGAAUAACUAUGCAGAUCGCACGGUCUUAGAACCGGCGACAUAUCUUUCAAAUGUCUGCCUUAUCAACUUUCGAUGGUAGUUUAUGCGCCUACCAUGGUUGUAACGGGUAACGAAGAAUCAGGGUUUGAUUUCGGAGAGGGAGCCUGAGAAACGGCUACCACAUCCAAGGAAGGCAGCAGGCACGCAAAUUACCCACUCCCGGCACGGGGAGGUAGUGACGAAACAUAACGAGGCGAUUCUCUACGAGACUCGCCAUCGGAAUGGGUACAAUCUAAAUCCUUUAACGAGGAUCUAUUGGAGGGCAAGUCUGGUGCCAGCAGCCGCGGUAAUUCCAGCUCCAAUAGCGUAUAUUAACGUUGUUGCGUUUAAAAAGCUCGUAGUUGGAUCUGCGACCUAGGAUAGCGGUCUGCCAAACGGUGUGUACUGCUCUUUCUGGUCUUGUUAUCCGGUUUUCCCUUGAUGCUCUUUGUUGAGUGUCCUGGGUGGCUGGAGGGUUUACUUUGAAAAAAUUAGAGUGCUCAAAGCAGGCGGUCUGCCUGAAUAAUGGUGCAUGGAAUAAUGGAAUAGGACCUCGGUUCUAUUUUGUUGGUUUUCGGAGCACGAGGUAAUGAUUAAAAGGGACAGACGGGGGCAUUCGUAUUGUGGCGC